RNAcentral lists this ribosomal RNA (508 nucleotides) under uncultured bacterium. RNAcentral describes it as "partial 16S ribosomal RNA". It matches the Rfam family "Bacterial small subunit ribosomal RNA", at positions 30 to 523 of the family's 1533-position model. The record is from RNAcentral.
AUUGAACGCUAACGGCGUGCUUAACACAUGCAAGUCGAGCGGCAGCAUGAUCUGUAGCAAUACAGAUUGAUGGCGAGCGGCGGACGGGUGAGUAAUGCAUAGGAAUCUGCCUUGUAGUGGGGGAUAACCCGGGGAAACUCGGGCUAAUACCGCAUAAUCUCUACGGAGCAAAGUGGGGGAUCGCAAGACCUCACGCUAAAAGAUGAGCCUAUGUUGGAUUAGCUAGUUGGUGAGGUAAUGGCUCACCAAGGCGACGAUCCAUAGCUGGUCUGAGAGGAUGAUCAGCCACACUGGGACUGAGACACGGCCCAGACUCCUACGGGAGGCAGCAGUGGGGAAUAUUGGACAAUGGGCGAAAGCCUGAUCCAGCAACGCCGUGUGUGUGAAGAAGGCCUUCGGGUUGUAAAGCACUUUUAGUUGGGAAGAAAAGCUCAUGGGUAAUAUCCAUGAGUGCUGACGUUACCAACAGAAAAAGCACUGGCUAACUCUGUGCCAGCAGCCGCGGUAA